RNAcentral lists this transfer RNA (87 nucleotides) under Cylindrotheca closterium. It matches the Rfam family "tRNA". Rfam says of the family: Transfer RNA (tRNA) molecules are approximately 80 nucleotides in length. Their secondary structure includes four short double-helical elements and three loops (D, anti-codon, and T loops). Further hydrogen bonds mediate the characteristic L-shaped molecular structure. tRNAs have two regions of fundamental functional importance: the anti-codon, which is responsible for specific mRNA codon recognition, and the 3' end, to which the tRNAs corresponding amino acid is attached (by aminoacyl-tRNA synthetases). tRNAs cope with the degeneracy of the genetic code in two manners: having more than one tRNA (with a specific anti-codon) for a particular amino acid; and 'wobble' base-pairing, i.e. permitting non-standard base-pairing at the 3rd anti-codon position. Lineage: Eukaryota; Bacillariophyta; Bacillariophyceae; Bacillariales; Bacillariaceae. The record is from RNAcentral.
GGAUGGAUGGCCGAGCGGUUUAAGGCGAUAGUUUUGAAAACUGUUGUAUUUAAUAGAUACCGUGGGUUCGAAUCCCACUCUGUCCUA